CAGGUCACUCCUACGGGAGGCAGCAGUGGGGAAUUUUGGACAAUGGGCGCAAGCCUGAUCCAGCCAUUCCGCGUGAGUGAAGAAGGCCUUCGGGUUGUAAAGCUCUUUCGCAAGGGAAGAAAACUUAUCUUCGAAUAAAGGAUGAGGCUGACGGUACCUUGAUAAGAAGCACCGGCUAACUACGUGCCAGCAGCCGCGGUAAUACGUAGGGUGCGAGCGUUAAUCGGAAUUACUGGGCGUAAAGCGUGCGCAGGCGGUUUUGUAAGUCAGAUGUGAAAUCCCCGGGCUCAACCUGGGAACUGCGUUUGAAACUACAAGGCUAGAGUGUAGCAGAGGGGGGUAGAAUUCCACGUGUAGCAGUGAAAUGCGUAGAGAUGUGGAGGAAUACCAAUGGCGAAGGCAGCCCCCUGGGUUAACACUGACGCUCAUGCACGAAAGCGUGGGGAGCAAACAGGAUUAGAUACCCUGGUAGUCCACGCCCUAAACGAUGUCUACUAGUUGUUGGGAGAGUAAAAUCUCUUAGUAACGCAGCUAACGCGUGAAGUAGACCGCCUGGGGAGUACGGUCGCAAGAUUAAAACUUAAAGGAAUUGAC
This 594-nucleotide ribosomal RNA is filed under the name uncultured beta proteobacterium. RNAcentral's name for it is "bacterial SSU rRNA". It matches the Rfam family "Bacterial small subunit ribosomal RNA", at positions 329 to 914 of the family's 1533-position model. The record is from RNAcentral. Lineage: Bacteria; Pseudomonadati; Pseudomonadota; Betaproteobacteria.